AAUGGGCGCAAGCCUGAUGCAGCGACGCCGCGUGAGGGAUGACGGCUUUCGGGUUGUAAACCUCUUUUACUAUCGAACAAGGCACAGUCUUUUGUUGUGUUGAGGGUAGGUGGUGAAUAAGCGCCGGCUAACUACGUGCCAGCAGCCGCGGUAAUACGUAGGGCGCGAGCGUUGUCCGGAAUUAUUGGGCGUAAAGAGCUCGUAGGCGGCUUGUCGCGUCUGCUGUGAAAUCCCAGGGCUUAACUCUGGGCGUGCAGUGGGUACGGGCAGGCUAGAGUGCGGUAGGGGUGAUUGGAAUUCCUGGUGUAGCGGUGGAAUGCGCAGAUAUCAGGAGGAACACCGAUGGCGAAGGCAGGUCACUGGGCCGUUACUGACGCUGAGGAGCGAAAGCAUGGGGAGCGAA
RNAcentral lists this ribosomal RNA (403 nucleotides) under uncultured bacterium. RNAcentral's name for it is "bacterial SSU rRNA". It matches the Rfam family "Bacterial small subunit ribosomal RNA", at positions 370 to 772 of the family's 1533-position model. The record is from RNAcentral.